GGUCAGCAUCAAUUUUGGUCGGUGGAUAAAGGCUUCGGGAAUGUGGCUCUCUCCGGGGAGUGUUAUAGCCCGCUGCGUAAUACCCUGUGGCGGACUGAGGUUCGCGCAUUCGCAAGGAUGCUGGCGUAAUGGUCAUCAGUGA
Molecule: ribosomal RNA, 142 nt
Filed under: Fusarium sp.
Lineage: Eukaryota; Fungi; Ascomycota; Sordariomycetes; Hypocreales; Nectriaceae
Description: partial large subunit ribosomal RNA
Source: RNAcentral